AGGGUUCGAUUCUGGCUCAGAACGUACGCUAGCGGUGUGGAUUAGGCAUGCAAGUCGUGCGCGAAAGCCUUCGGGCGAGUAAAGCGGCGAAAGGGUGAGUAACACGUAACCAACGUACCCCUCAGAUCGGAAUAACCUCUGGAAACGGUGGGUAAUGCCGAAUGGUCCCAGGAGAGACAUCUCUCCGAGGGUAAACGGUGCCUUCGGGUGCUGCUGAGGGAGCGGGUUGCGGCCUAUCAGUUUGUUGGUGGGGUAACGGCCUACCAAGACGAUGACGGGUAGCGGGUCUGAGAGGAUGAUCCGUCACACUGGGACUGAGACACUGCCCAGACUCCUACGGGAGGCUGCAGUCGAGAAUCUUCCACAAUGGGCGAAAGCCUGAUGGAGCGACACCGCGUGCAGGAUGAAGGCCUUAGGGUUGUAAACUGCUGUCACGCUAUAGGAACCCAUGGUCGUUAAUAGCGGCCGUGCUGACCAAAGCGAGAGGAAGCGCCGGCUAACUCCGUGCCAGCAGCCGCGGUAAUACGGAGGGCGCAAGCGUAGUUCGGAUUUACUGGGCAUAAAGAGCACGUAGGCGGCUCGCUCAGUCAGGUGUGAAAGCCCACGGCUCAACCGUGGAACUGCACCUGAUACUGGCGAGCUUGAGGACGGAAGGGGUGAGUGGAACUCCAGGUGGAACGGUGAAAUGUAUAGAUAUCUGGAGGAACACCGGUGGCGAAAGCGGCUCACUGGUCCGUCUCUGACGCUGAGGUGCGAAAGCUAGGGUAGCGAACAGGAUUAGAUACCCUGGUAGUCCACGCCCUAAACGUUGAUAACUCGCUGUUGGCGAUAUACUGUCAGUGGCUAAGCGAAAGCGUUAAGUUAUCCACCUGGGAAGUACGACCGCAAGGUUGAAACUCAAAGGAAUUGACGGAAUCA
Molecule: ribosomal RNA, 918 nt
Filed under: uncultured bacterium
Lineage: Bacteria
Description: bacterial SSU rRNA
Rfam family: Bacterial small subunit ribosomal RNA
Source: RNAcentral